RNAcentral lists this ribosomal RNA (293 nucleotides) under uncultured bacterium. RNAcentral describes it as "partial 16S ribosomal RNA". It matches the Rfam family "Archaeal small subunit ribosomal RNA", at positions 455 to 747 of the family's 1478-position model. The record is from RNAcentral.
GUGCCAGCCGCCGCGGUAAUACCGGCAGCACGAGUGAUGGCCGAUAUUAUUGGGCCUAAAGCGUCCGUAGCUUGCUGUGUAAGUCCAUUGGGAAAUCGACGCGCUCAACGCGUCGGUGUCCGGUGGAAACUACACGGCUUGGGGCCGGGAGACUCGACGGGUACGUUCGGGGUAGGAGUGAAAUCCCAUAAUCCCGCACGGACCACCGAUGGCGAAAGCACUUCGAGAAAACGGAUCCGACAGUGAGGGACGGAAGCCAGGGUCUCCAACCGGAUUAGAAACCCGGGUAGUCC